Molecule: ribozyme, 94 nt
Organism: Heterocephalus glaber (naked mole-rat)
Lineage: Eukaryota; Metazoa; Chordata; Mammalia; Rodentia; Bathyergidae
Rfam family: Nuclear RNase P
About the family: Ribonuclease P (RNase P) is a ubiquitous endoribonuclease, found in archaea, bacteria and eukarya as well as chloroplasts and mitochondria. Its best characterised activity is the generation of mature 5'-ends of tRNAs by cleaving the 5'-leader elements of precursor-tRNAs.
Source: Ensembl
UCAGUGUGGGGCAGCAGACUGCUCUCUACCUGGGAGCCAGGAUUCCCCCUGGGAAGUUCUGAGACUAAGUGUCUUCCAGAUAACCUUCAGCGGA